AAGCAGGAUUCAGACUACAGCAUGGCUGUAAAGUGCUGUGCUGUCGUUCCCCCUGCUCAAAAUAAAGUUGUUUCUUAACUAUACCUGUCUGCCAUGCCUGUGUAGCAGCCAGGGACGCUUGGUCUCAUACAU
Molecule: small nucleolar RNA, 132 nt
Organism: Cavia aperea (Brazilian guinea pig)
Lineage: Eukaryota; Metazoa; Chordata; Mammalia; Rodentia; Caviidae
Gene: SNORA63
Rfam family: Small nucleolar RNA SNORA63
About the family: E3 belongs to the H/ACA class of snoRNAs and is involved in the processing of eukaryotic pre-rRNA and has regions of complementarity to 18S rRNA.
Source: Ensembl